AACGUAGGAGACAAACGUUAUCCGGAGUUACUGGGCGUAAAGGGUGCGCAGGCGGCCGUGUGUGUGAGGCGUGAAAGCCCGGGGCUUAACCCCGGAAUUGCACCUCAAACUACAUGGCUAGAGCAUUGGAGAGGGUAGCGGAAUUCACGGUGUAGCAGUGAAAUGCGUAGAUAUCGUGAGGAACACCAGAGGCGAAGGCGGCUACCUGGACAAUUGCUGACGCUCAGGCACGAAAGCGUGGGGAGCAAAAGGG
Molecule: ribosomal RNA, 253 nt
Filed under: uncultured bacterium
Lineage: Bacteria
Description: partial 16S ribosomal RNA
Rfam family: Bacterial small subunit ribosomal RNA
Source: RNAcentral